GAUGAACGCUGGCGGCGUGCUUAACACAUGCAAGUCGAACGGUGAAGCAGAGCUUGCUCUGUGGAUCAGUGGCGAACGGGUGAGUAACACGUGAGCAACCUGCCCCUGACUCUGGGAUAAGCGCUGGAAACGGCGUCUAAUACUGGAUAUGAGCUUCGACCGCAUGGUCAGCAGUUGGAAAGAUUUUUCGGUCUGGGAUGGGCUCACGGCCUAUCAGCUUGUUGGUGAGGUAAUGGCUCACCAAGGCGUCGACGGGUAGCCGGCCUGAGAGGGUGACCGGCCACACUGGGACUGAGACACGGCCCAGACUCCUACGGGAGGCAGCAGUGGGGAAUAUUGCACAAUGGGCGAAAGCCUGAUGCAGCACCGCCGCGUGAGGGAUGACGGCCUUCGGGUUGUAAACCUCUUUUAGCAGGGAAGAAGCGAAAGUGACGGUACCUGCAGAAAAAGCGCCGGCUAACUACGUGC
Molecule: ribosomal RNA, 468 nt
Filed under: uncultured bacterium
Lineage: Bacteria
Description: partial 16S ribosomal RNA
Rfam family: Bacterial small subunit ribosomal RNA
Source: RNAcentral